UACGAAGGGGGCUAGCGUUGCUCGGAAUCACUGGGCGUAAAGCGCGCGUAGGCGGCUUUGUAAGUUAGAGGUGAAAGCCCGGAGCUCAACUCCGGAACUGCCUUUAAAACUGCAUCGCUUGAAUCCAGGAGAGGUGAGUGGAAUUCCGAGUGUAGAGGUGAAAUUCGUAGAUAUUCGGAAGAACACCAGUGGCGAAGGCGGCUCACUGGCCCGAUACUGACGCUGAGGCACGAAAGCGUGGGGAGCAAACAGG
RNAcentral lists this ribosomal RNA (253 nucleotides) under uncultured bacterium. Its description in RNAcentral is "partial 16S ribosomal RNA". It matches the Rfam family "Bacterial small subunit ribosomal RNA", at positions 524 to 776 of the family's 1533-position model. The record is from RNAcentral.